AUUGAACGCUGGCGGAAUGCUUUACACAUGCAAGUCGAACGGCAGCACGGACUUCGGUCUGGUGGCGAGUGGCGAACGGGUGAGUAAUAUAUCGGAACGUGCCCAGUCGUGGGGGAUAACGUAGUGAAAAUUACGCUAAUACCGCAUACGAUCUAAGGAUGAAAGCGGGGGAUCGCAAGACCUCGCGCGAUUGGCGCGGCCGAUAUCAGAUUAGGUAGUUGGUAGGGUAAAGGCCUACCAAGCCAACGAUCUGUAGCUGGGCUGAGAGGAGGACCAGCCACACUGGAACUGAGCAACGGUCCAGACUCCUACGGGAGGCAGCAGUGGGGAAUUUUGGACAAUGGGCGAAAGCCUGAUCCAGCCAUUCCGCGUGCAGGAUGAAGGCCCUCGGGUUGUAAGCUGCUUUUGUACAGAACGAAAAGGUCUCUACUAAUACUAGGGGCUCAUGACGGUACUGUAAGAAUAAGCACCGGCUAACUACGUGCCAGCAGCCGCGGUAA
This 500-nucleotide ribosomal RNA is filed under the name uncultured bacterium. RNAcentral describes it as "partial 16S ribosomal RNA". It matches the Rfam family "Bacterial small subunit ribosomal RNA", at positions 30 to 523 of the family's 1533-position model. The record is from RNAcentral.